GACGAACCGUGCGAACGUUAUUCGGAAUCACUGGGCUUAAAGCGCGUGUAGGCGGGCCGGCACGUCGACUGCUGAAAUCCCCCGGCUCAACCGGGGAACGGGCAUCGAUACGACCGGCCUGGAGGGGGGUAGGGGGGACGGGAACUUCCGGUGGAGCGGUGAAAUGCGUUGAGAUCGGAAGGAACGCCCGCGGCGAAAGCGCGUCCCUGGACCCCACCUGACGCUGAGACGCGAAAGCCAGGGGAGCGAACGGG
RNAcentral lists this ribosomal RNA (254 nucleotides) under uncultured bacterium. RNAcentral's name for it is "partial 16S ribosomal RNA". It matches the Rfam family "Bacterial small subunit ribosomal RNA", at positions 524 to 776 of the family's 1533-position model. The record is from RNAcentral.